This 1509-nucleotide long non-coding RNA is filed under the name Pongo abelii (Sumatran orangutan). Its description in RNAcentral is "lncRNA (ENSPPYG00000041224.1)". The record is from RNAcentral. Lineage: Eukaryota; Metazoa; Chordata; Mammalia; Primates; Hominidae.
AAUCAACACUGUUCCUCCCCACAAAAAAUGCCUUGGGAAUAUAAUAGGCAUAUACUUCAUUUGUGUAACUUUUCCUAAUGUAUUUUUUUUAAUUUGCUUUAUAACGGUUUCAUGUUUGUUUACCUCAAUUGGUAGUCUUAAAAUCUGUAUAUUUGGUUAUUGAUGAAUCUUCUGUAGCUCUUAUGUAGCCAGUGAGACAGAUGAGGGCUGUCAGCUUUUAAGUGACAUCUUAAGCUAAUAAGAAAUUGCAAUCCUCAAGUCAUUUCUUGAGGCUGUUACCCUUUAAGACAAAUAAUACUUCCCUCAAAUAGUUCAGAAAAUUUUUAAAAGGAUCAAUUACAGCACAAGUGUAAAAUUCUUGCUUCUAGUAUAUAAUAGUGAUGUUACCAUGUUAAGUAUUUUGAUGAAAUAUCCCCUAAAGAUGUGUAGACUAUGGCGCAGAAUCAGUAUGCAAGCCUUAGCUUGAAUGAGACUGCUGAAAAGUAAAUGACAGGGAUCUGAAUACUUAGAAGGCUUAACUUUUUGCAGGGAAGGAAAGGCUAUGUAUGCAAAAGAAUAGGUUGUAACUACUGAAGAGCUACUUUUAUGCUCAGAAAUCUUUUAUUCCACUUUGUAUCCAAGAUUUCAUUAAAACAUUGUUCCUUAGAGCAUACUUUUAAGAACUAUUUGGUAAGGAAUCCACUGUCGAACUUCAGGUCUUAAUAGCACUGGCUUUGGUGUUAAACUGAGUUGAAUUCCAAGCCUGUUGGCCAUUCCCAGCAUUGCCACUGCUGUAUUAGUUUUCUCAUCUGUAAAUAACAGUGCCUACAUCUCACAGGGCCUCUAAUAGUUAAAUAGAUUGUAAGCUGCACAAGCAUAGGGACAGUCUGUCUUUUGUAAACCUCCCAUGCACACAAUAGACAAUCAAAUAUUCUUGAACAAAUGAAGUCACUAAGUGCUUAUUAAAUUUCAUUUUAAAUACAUGCCUCUGUUAAUUCAUGGAUCUUGGAACUUACUUAAAAGACAAUGCUUUGACUGACAUUUCCACAUUCCUCAUAGGGAUUUACUUUUUGAUACAAACAGGUUCAGUUAACAUUGCCAUACACAUCUCAUUACUUUUGGGAGUGCUUUUCCAGAAAUCUCUGGUACAGUCACGUCACUUCAUGAUGGGGCUGUGUUCUGAGAAAUGUAUCUUUGGGUGAUUUCAUCACUGUAUGAACAUCACAGAGUGUACUUACACAGAUCCUGAUGGUAUGUAUAUAGCCUGUUACACACUUAGGCUAUACAGAUAGCCUAGCCUAUUAUUCUUCAGCUACAGCACUGUACAGAAUGUUACUGUAAUCAUACUGUAGGCAACUGUAACACAAUGGUAAACAUUUGUAUAUUCAGACAUAGAAAAGGUACAGUAAAAACAUGGUAUAAUCUUAUGAGACCACCCUUAUAUAUACAAUGUCACUGACCAAAAUGUUAUGUGGUGCCAUGACUAUACUUGUUAAGAAGGCAAAUUCCAAUCCUUUUGACCCAUGGUAG